CAGGAGCUGGGGCUGAGGUGAGUGGGGCCCCUUCUGGGCUGGGUGGUGGGACAAGCGGAGGUCCCAGGGGCAUGUGCCCCCCUGUGGCAGGACACUGUUUGUGCCUGCCAUGUUAAGACCUAAGCCAAGCAACCAGCAGGUGCCUGAUUGUGGCAGCCAUUUUAGAUUCAGGGCUGCCUAUAUAAGCAGAGCAUUUUGCUGCUGGCAGGCCAGGCAGCAACAUCACUUGGUUGCAAGGCUUCAUGGAACACCCUGGAGACUACAGAGCUGAACCUGAAAGUUGCAACAUGAUCAUUUCUACUUCAACAAGUAUUAAGGACUUGCCUUCUUUUAAGAAGCAGAAAUACAUGUGAUAUAAGGAGCAUAUUCCAGUUGGAUUGGGACAGAGAAGAGAAGGCUUUCCAGUUGAAGACAGCCAGCCAGAGGGACUGCAGAUGAUUUCAUGGUAUUUAAUGCCAGAAGAGAUGAUUCUAAUCAACUUGUUUGACCUGUUGCAGAACAUGCAUUUAGACUAUUACCCAGUAAAUCGUAGAUACCAUUUUUAAAAAGUAUAUUUUGGAUUCAGAGACUUCAAUGCAUUUCAUAGACUUGCUGAAAAUAACCACAGGAAUAUAGGAAGAAUAUGGUAAGGUAGAACUGAGAGUGAAACCCCUGGGUUAUUAAGUCCAGACUCCUUGGAUUGUAGACAGCACAUCACAUAGCCCUUUCUGGGCACAUCUACAUUGAACACGUUAAUGCACAUUAACCUUGUGUCUUCAUAAGCCCGCCUUGAAUCCACAUUAAAAAUGGUGAAAUUA
Alligator mississippiensis (American alligator) is the source of this 797-nucleotide long non-coding RNA. RefSeq lists it as uncharacterized. Lineage: Eukaryota; Metazoa; Chordata; Crocodylia; Alligatoridae. The record is from RefSeq and is a predicted model, not a curated record. The transcript has 2 exons.